AGAGCGGCGUACGGGUGCGGAACACGUGUGCAACCUGCUUUAUCUGGGGGAUAGCCUUUCGAAAGGAAGAUUAAUACCCCAUAAUAUGUUGAAUGGCAUCAUUCGACAUUGAAAACUCCGGUGGAUAGAGAUGGGCACGCGCAAGAUUAGAUAGUUGGUGAGGUAACGGCUCACCAAGUCUACGAUCUUUAGGGGGCCUGAGAGGGUGAUCCCCCACACUGGUACUGAGACACGGACCAGACUCCUACGGGAGGCAGCAGUGAGGAAUAUUGGACAAUGGGUGAGAGCCUGAUCCAGCCAUCCCGCGUGAAGGACGACUGCCCUAUGGGUUGUAAACUUCUUUUGUAUAGGGAUAAACCUACCCUCGUGAGGGUAGCUGAAGGUACUAUACGAAUAAGCACCGGCUAACUCCGUGCCAGCAGCCGCGGUAAUACGGAGGGUGCAAGCGUUAUCCGGAUUUAUUGGGUUUAAAGGGUCCGUAGGCGGAUCUGUAAGUCAGUGGUGAAAUCUCACAGGUUUAAUUGUGAAAUUGCCAUUGAUACUGCAGGUCUUGAGUGUGUGAAAGUAGCUGGAAUAAGUAGUGUAACGGGUGAAUUGCUU
This 600-nucleotide ribosomal RNA is filed under the name uncultured bacterium. RNAcentral's name for it is "bacterial SSU rRNA". It matches the Rfam family "Bacterial small subunit ribosomal RNA", at positions 92 to 691 of the family's 1533-position model. The record is from RNAcentral.